RNAcentral lists this ribosomal RNA (494 nucleotides) under uncultured bacterium. Its description in RNAcentral is "partial 16S ribosomal RNA". It matches the Rfam family "Bacterial small subunit ribosomal RNA", at positions 28 to 507 of the family's 1533-position model. The record is from RNAcentral.
GACGAACGCUGGCGGCGUGCUUAACACAUGCAAGUCGAACGGAAAGGCCUGCUUUCCCUUGUGGAUUGCGGGUACUCGAGUGGCGAACGGGUGAGUAACACGUGAGUGAUCUGCCCCCAACUUGGGUAUAAGCCUGGGAAACUGGGUCUAAUUCCCGAUAGGACUGCAGGGUGGUGCCUGUGGUGGAAAACGAUUUUCUAGUGGUUGGGGAUGAGCUCGCGGCCUAUCAGCUUGUUGGUGGGGUAAUGGCCUACCAAGGCGGCGACGGGUAGCCGGCCUGGGAGGGUGGACGGCCACAUUGGGACUGGGACCCGGCCCAGACUCCUACGGGCGGCAGCAGUGGGGAAUAUUGGACCAUGGGCGGAAGCCUGCUGCAGCGACGCCGCGUGGGGGAUGACGGCCUUCGGGUUGUAAACUCCUUUCGACCGCGAGGAAGCCACCUGGUUGGAAGGGUGGUGACGGUAGUGGUAGAAGAAGCACCGGCUAACUACGUG